GCAAUUCGAGCGAGAGAAGAAGCAACAGCUCCAGAUGUAAUUGCUGAUCAAGAAAACGAACUGAAUCGUGGAAAGGAGAAAAUUCAAGAAUAGUCCCUGAAUUUCUACGACUUUUGCAAAUUAGUCCAGAUUGACUUGAAGUGAAGUGGGUAGAUCGGAUCAACACAACAGGGCACACUAUUCAGAUCAAUUCUGGUAGUUUUUGUUUUAUGUUUAAAGAUUUAUAUGGCAUGUAUAGAGUUUGAAUGAAUU
This is a long non-coding RNA of Gossypium arboreum, 252 nucleotides long. RefSeq lists it as uncharacterized. The transcript has 3 exons. The record is from RefSeq and is a predicted model, not a curated record. Lineage: Eukaryota; Viridiplantae; Streptophyta; Magnoliopsida; Malvales; Malvaceae.